RNAcentral lists this ribosomal RNA (427 nucleotides) under uncultured Dyella sp. RNAcentral describes it as "bacterial SSU rRNA". It matches the Rfam family "Bacterial small subunit ribosomal RNA", at positions 355 to 774 of the family's 1533-position model. Lineage: Bacteria; Pseudomonadati; Pseudomonadota; Gammaproteobacteria; Lysobacterales; Rhodanobacteraceae. The record is from RNAcentral.
UGGGGAAUAUUGGACAAUGGGCGCAAGCCUGAUCCAGCAAUGCCGCGUGUGUGAAGAAGGCCUUCGGGUUGUAAAGCACUUUUAUCAGGAGCGAAAUACUACCGGCUAAUACCCGGUGGGGCUGACGGUACCUGAGGAAUAAGCACCGGCUAACUUCGUGCCAGCAGCCGCGGUAAUACGAAGGGUGCAAGCGUUAAUCGGAAUUACUGGGCGUAAAGCGUGCGUAGGCGGUUUGUUAAGUCUGCUGUGAAAUCCCCGGGCUCAACCUGGGAAUGGCAGUGGAUACUGGCAAGCUAGAGUGUGUCAGAGGAUGGUGGAAUUCCCGGUGUAGCGGUGAAAUGCGUAGAGAUCGGGAGGAACAUCAGUGGCGAAGGCGGCCAUCUGGGACAACACUGACGCUGAGGCACGAAAGCGUGGGGAGCAAACA